AAUGAAGAUGUUAAAGAGGAUUGAUGUUUUGUCCAAUCUAUAACUUUGGAUUCAGAAUGAACAGGUUCUUCUCUGUAAUUUUUUUUAUCAGAGAUUACUUACAAGACAGCAUCAGAAAUGGGUGCUUAACAAAAACAGAGAAGGAAAAAUGCGUUGGUAUUUUGUAUGGCUUGCAUAAGACAACAAUGAGGAUGAGAAGAAAAGAAUGGCAAUUUAACUAGACUGAUGGAUUCUGGAUUGCAAUCCAGCUACUUUACUUCAGCUAAAAGAUAAUGAAGGUUGGCUACAGAAUGCUUACAAUGAAGUGCUGAAAUACUGCAAGAGAGGCAAUUCUCUUAAUACUUCUGAAGUACUGACCCAGCAAUCCCAUGAGAGCCUCUGUUCACGAGGUGUGGUGUCUGAUUCCAGAACAAAGAGAACUGAGUACAUUCAGGUUAAUGAUAGGAACACACCAAGCCUGGAGUCCUCAGAAUGUCCUCCUGAAGUGCCCAGCCCCGGAACCACUGGACACUCACAGAAUCCCAGAUGCUCUGCUCUCAAAGGAGCAGUGCUCCCUAGAUGACCAGUUAUGCUGUAGGGCACAGCUCCACCUAACACACAAUACUUAGAUACAUUCAUAGUAAACAGAAGAAAUUUGUUUAACAGAGAGCAGAGAUUCAAGUGGUAGCAAGUAGAAGUACUUGAAACAAAAGCUCACCUAUAAAUUAAAAUUAUAACAUGCAGUCUAGAACCUAGACUUACUUAGCUAGACACCCCUUGUCUAAUAAUCUUUAGCUCACUCCAAAGUCUCUCCAGAAUUCUUCAGCCAAGCCUGGCUAUGAUCCUUUUUCCAUGGGGAAAAAAAAACAUGCUGUAAACUUGCUUCUUAGGUGAAAGAUUUAGAGUCCCUUUACCUGUGGUCACAGUCCAGAAAUCCAUUUUCUUCACUUUUAAACAGGACUCCUUCCUGCUGGUUUACCUUUCCCUGUAAAUUCCCUCCCAUAAAGAUUUUACCAUCUUUUCAUUAACAUUGGGUUCAGACUGUAAAUGUGUAUCCAUUAUGAAUCAUACAAUAUUCAGUUUAUAUAUAGCCAGAUAGUCAGAUAAACAUCUCUUGUCUGAAACCCCUCUCCCCGCUAGUUUAUCCCCUUCUGGUGAGCAGCCCUAAUUCACAGACCCGAAGAACAUAUUUUUCAGUAUAUAUCUAACAUACAUAUUACCUAUACAUACAUUUCACAAUGAUUAGGAUGACCCAGGCUUUCAGUGUGUGACACAGGCUUUCAGUAGAAACCUUGCAUUACAACCUUUGGCCAGCUAGUAUGAAGAUACCAGACUCAGGAGAUCCCUAUAACCUUCAUGCACCCUUGUGUCCUCUGCCAGUUGGCAGCAAGAGGUCACAGAGAUAGAGAGAUGGAAAAUGAGAUCUGAAUCCCUAGAUCUGAACCUGAGCCCAUGCUUUCCAGAUACAGAGCUGGAGCAGGGUCUAUUUCAGAGUUGCAGUGUGGAUUAGGGUGGCCGCCUGAGAUACAGAAAAACAGGCCAUGGCCCCCCUCCCUCUAUCCUGACCCUCCUCUUCCUCUCUCAGGAGCCCUCAUCCCUCCACUUGCAGCCUCAAUCGCCUCAGACACCCUCAUGCAGGAAGUGGUGUGGGUGAGGGGCUGGGGGAGGCUCAAGGCCUCUUUACACUUAUCUUUCCCACCCUGCACUGUGCUCUCUGGCUCAGGAAGAAGGUGGCUCUGGAC
Long non-coding RNA from Mauremys mutica (yellowpond turtle), 1721 nucleotides. RefSeq lists it as uncharacterized. The record is from RefSeq and is a predicted model, not a curated record. The transcript is spliced from 5 exons. NCBI's taxonomy places the organism in Eukaryota, Metazoa, Chordata, Testudines, Geoemydidae.